This 253-nucleotide ribosomal RNA is filed under the name uncultured bacterium. RNAcentral describes it as "partial 16S ribosomal RNA". It matches the Rfam family "Bacterial small subunit ribosomal RNA", at positions 524 to 776 of the family's 1533-position model. The record is from RNAcentral.
UACAGAGGGUGCAAGCGUUGUUCGGAAUUAUUGGGCGUAAAGGGAGUGUAGGCGGCUUGUUAAGUCUUCUGUGAAAUCUACGGGCUCAGCCUGUAACGUGCAGAGGAAACUGGCGAGCUUGAGUGUCGGAGAGGAUAGGGGAAUACCCGGUGUAGAGGUGAAAUUCGUAGAGAUCGGGUGGAACACCAGUGGGGAAGGCGCCUAUCUGGCUGACAACUGACGCUGAGACUCGAAAGCAUGGGGAGCAAACAGG